AUAUAUAUAUAUAUGAAUACCUUGUCAUCGAUGUAAGCAACCCAAAAUCUGGCAUGACCUCGAUCAUAGGCAUUUUGUGGAAGGAUGGAGGGAGCAUGGGUCCAAACUUCAUCGAUGUAUUCAACUAUGAUUGCAGAUUCACAUAUGGGUUUAUCUGCAUGAAGGAGAACUGGGAUUUUCUUGUGCACAGGAUUGGACUUAAGAAGAAGUUCACUUUUGGGAUUCAAGGUCUCUUCAAUAACCUCAUAAUCUACACCCUUCAGGUCAUGGGCAAUCUGCACCCUUAGAGCAAAAGGGCUGGACCAACUACCCAAAAGCUUCAAGUCGUUUUUAGCCAUCACUAUGCACUGUAAUGUGUUUUUUAUUUGAUAGAUUUUAAAUGUUUAGAUAUGAGAAGGCAGGUUAGAAAAACUAACUUUUAGAUGCAGCAACCAAUUAAUAAUCAACUCAAAAGUUGAGAGGUGAUACACAAAGGUAUUAGGUAGCAAUGGGUUUGAAAAAUUGUUGUACUAAUUCAAUGAGGAAAAGUUAGUUCGACAAGGAUCUAAAAACACAUUCAUUUUAGACUACUUUUAAUAAUAUAAUAAUAUAUAAAAUAAUAUAAUUGUGAUAAAAAAUUAUUUGACCAUGUCAAAUGAGAAAGUAUUUUUAACGUAGACGUAACUAAGUCACAUAAUUUUCUUAAUAUGAUCGUUUGACAUGAUGUAAGCAUGCUUGAAGUGCUGGCAUGGCACAUGGAUGUGUGAUUUAGAGAAUGACAAGAGUCACUAAAAAAUCCACACACUUAUUUAUGCAUAAAAUAUAUUUUUUAUAUACUAUUUAUCAAGCAAAGCAUAGUGUGUAAAUGAAUAAAUAUAUAUAUAUAAACUGGAAAUUUAAAACGAAAGAUAAAAGACUAACUGCACCAGCCGGGAAUCGAACCCGGGUCUGUACCGUGGCAGGGUACUAUUCUACCACUAGACCACUGGUGCAAUUGAUAUUAGCAUUGUUAGUUAUUAAAUAGAACUAUGCAAUAUAUAAGAGUAAAUAUUGUAAUGAAAUUGAUAUUGUUAAUUUUGUAAUCUGUCACUGUGUUUUUAUUUGUAUAAAUUAUAUUAUGCGUGAAAUGAAAUUUAAUGAUUUUGGGAUUAAUUGAAUGAAAAAUCAUUAUAAUAUCAUAUUUUUAAAAUUGAAAAACUUAAUUGACCUUUUCUUUUUUAAAUAGUGAAACCAAAUUGAAUAAAAUAAAUAAAUAAUAAGAAAAAAUAUCAGAGCUUCUAUUUUAAUAUGGAUGAGAGAUUUAAAUCCAACAGAAAGAAAUACAUUAAAAUUACGAGAGGAUAUAAAAGUUGAUCAUGGAUCAAAUAGGAGAGAGACCUAUUUUUCUUUUUACGCUUUAAGUCAAUAAGAACAUAAUGAGUAUACAAAAUGAGAAUGAAAGAAAUUGAGUGAGUAUUCUAUUUAAGAAUGUAUUGUAUUUAUAGACAGGAGAGUGGACAUCCGAGUUAUUAUAAAAGUGUUGCCUAUUGUCAUAUUUUAGAUAACUUUUUUUAUUUCAUUAUUGCAUAUUCAUAUAUUUUAAGCCACGAUUUUAAAAAUUUGUGGCUUAAGAAAAAAAUCGUGAGCUUUAGUAUGGACCCUAACAACAUAGACCAUGACUAAAAAUUCAUUGCUAAUUCAUUCGCUAAAAUUUAGGUAAUGAUUUUCUUUUACUAACGUGUGACUGUAGUUUUUCAUUGUUUAAAGUCAUUUUUAUCAGGGUUAAAUAUGUUUUUAGUUCUUAUACUUUAAAGCGAUUUUGGUUUUAGUCUUAUUUUUUUAAAGUAAGGUACAUUUUAGUCUUCCUUCUUAAAUGAUAAUUUUAGUCUUCCAAAAUCAACGGCGUUAAAAAUCAGUUAACGUGGCUAAAGGUGUUGUUCCACGUUUUUUUUUCUGACACCGAGUCAUUCUUUUCGACUUUUCUCCCUCCUCUCCCUCCCUGCAUCUUCACGCCCAGUUUCUCCUCCUACCAUUGCUACGACUCGCCUUGUCGGUUCGUCCCUCACCCCACACCCACACAUUGUAACAAUCGCAACAAACUCCACACACUUGGCCACUACGAAUAUUCCUACACGGAUGGGUCCACAACAACGAGCUUCUUCUCCAAGGAAACAACGAUGUUCAAAACCAACUCCAACAAACAAGGGAAAAUUAAAAACCUGGCAUUCGGGUGCGGGUUUAAAACCUAUGGCCCCAGUGUAACAGGCUCCAUCUUAAACGGCACGCGAGGCGUAAUGGGACUGGGUGACAGACCCAUUUCGUUUACUUCCCAACCUGGCCGCAAAUUUUGCAAUUGCGUUCUCUACAUCAACAAUUGUGCAGCCACAAUGCUUUGUUGUUUCUUGCUUUUGAGCAAUUUGAAGAUUCUAAAGAUAACAAAACAAAAGGAUCAAAGCCAGAAGAAUAAAUAACAAAUCAAUUAAUAUAUGCAUAAAUAAACAUUUUGAAGCAUGAAUUUAUCCAAAACCCCAAGAUAUGGAAUUAUGGCUUCGUAUUUCUCGAAGGCAGAGGAAAAAGUGGCUUCAUUGCUUCGUCCAACAAUGAACUCCUUAAAAGUGCCAAUUCUUUUUGCAUUAUUCAUUUCAUCUGCAAAAUCUGAUAUCAAUAAUAUCAUUAUUCUUACUACGUUAUGAAAAUGUAAAAACAGUUUCUGAGAUAUGUGAGAAAGGAGAAGUAAGGGCGAAAUUGGAAUUAAAAGGAAAGGGAGUUGCCGCAAUGGGGUUUGGUGCUGGCACUUGUAACUUUAAGUUCCUGCGGCGGAGGGAGCCGCCGCGUUGGGGUUUCGACCUUUGUGUUAAGUUUGCGGCAUUACAAGACCGAGGCUUUCGAAGUUGAGAUUCUUCCUCGCUAGAAAAUCAGUGUUGUCGUUGCCGGCGUGGAAUUAUUUUAUUAAGGCAGUAGAUGGAGUAAAGUGUCUCGCGGUUCAGGCAAUUUCGAUCGGGUUUUGGAUUUACUUUGGCCAUGGAGGUGAGCGUGGUGGAGGGUGGUUGCACAUGGGGGUUUCGCGGUUGAUGGUGGUGGCCACUAUGGUAGAGUUGGAGGGAGAGGGAGGGAGAGAAGUUGGGAAAGAUUAACCAACGUAAAAAAAAAAUAUGACAUGGCACACUACCGUUAGCCACGUCAGCUUCUUUUUAACCUAAAAUGUAUCUUACUUUUAAAGAGGGACUAAAACCAAAACCGCUUGAAAGUAUAUGGACUAAAAACAUAUUUAAUCCUUUUUAUUAUAGUGGGACAAAAAAAAUGUAAAAGUGAUAAUUGAUUGUGAAAUAAUUGAUUUUUAUUUUUUAUAUAUGCCUCAAAUAUGAGACUCAAGGAUAUUAUGACAUACUAUGCUCAUAAUUAUAUUUAUUAUGGUAUGAUAUUUAUUAAAGUUGUUAAACCUGACUCAUCACAUAUUUGAAUAGGUUAAAAAAUAUUUCUAAUUUUAGUAUGAAUCAAAAUUGGACCGACUUACUAAGAACUCAACUCACUAAAUCAAACCAGUGAUAGAAUAUACCAUAAAAGUUAAUUCUAAGUCGAAUUCCUUCGUAUGUGCUUGAGAAGCUCAAAUUUCAAAAUUUUGAAAAAAACCUACAUGAAUAAAGUAUAGUUUUCUUUGAUAAAAAUGGAAGGAAUUUCUAAAAUAUAACGUGUCUGUAGUCACGUAUUUUUUUGUCAUAUAGAUCUAAAAUGAAUGAAAAAUCAUAUAUUAAUAUUUAAUGAAUUUAUAAUUUAAUUCAUUACGAAAAAAAAUGCUUGAGUUUGUUAUUAGAAAUGAUAUGAGCGAUAAGAUUAACCAUGUAUGAUUUCAAAAUGUAAAAGAUCGACACUAUUUUUGUUAUUGUUUUUUUAUAAAAAAAAACUUUAACACAAUAGUUAAUAUUAUUUUCUCUAUAAAUAAAAAACAUAACUUAUUUUAUAUUUGUUAUCAGUUGCGUUCCAAAUUUUUAAUAAUUUUAAUCUUUCAUCAAAUGAGAAUAUUAGUAUAAGAUAUCUACAUGUAUAAAUAUUAUACUCUAAGUUAUAAAUAGGUUUAAAUGCUUACUUCGUCCUCAUGUUAAGAGGUAAAUUUUUAUUUUGUAUUCGGUUUUAAAAAUGAAGACAUUAGGUCUCAAAAUUGUAAAAAUUGCAUGAAUGAAGUCCUAUCUGUUAAGUUUGCACCAAUGGUGUUAAUUGCGUGCUGAUGUAGCAUGCUUUUUCUUUUUUUAUACUCUGUUGUCCAACUUCUCUCCUAUGUUGUCCAUCUUCUCUCUUAUAUUGCCCAACUUUUUCUCUCUCUUCCAUAUUAAUAGUUCCAAUUUCUUUUUUCUCUUUUUUUUUUUUCUAACAAUCAAAUCCCUUAAUUUUUGGAGCUAAUUCUCCAUUGUUCCCGUCUCGCAUUAACCCCUCAAGGCAAAUAAGGGUUUAUGCAGUUGAGGCAUUUUGUUCCCUCCACCGCCAACACUUCCUACAGCAGCUCCACCAGCUACGGUCUCUCCUCUAAUACCUCCAUUGCCAGCCACACCUCCCUCACCUCUCUCCGCGACAUUGUCAUUAAUUGAGUAGUUGUAUUAAUUCUCACCAUUGAACUCCCAAAGAAGAUACACGAGUCAACAAAACUAAAUUCAUGUACACCAGGAUUUUCAAAACAUAUAUAGGCUGGGGAAUUGUGUUUGACCUAAAACAAAUAUUAUUACAAUGGCUAAAACACACGUACAUCAGAAAUUUCCAGAAAAAAGUGACAUUGGACCAAAAAUAAAAUGGGAAAGAAAAAAAAUAUAUCAACCUCAAGCCUUUUAUUUUCCAGGAAUAACAUUUGAAAACUGAAAUUCACUACUCUUAGUGGUCAAGCUAAUUGUUUUUCUCUCUCUAUUAUAUUUCUCAACUUGCCUCACGAGGGUGACAUAUACAAAUGGACCACAUUCCUCCUUGUAGGAUACAACACCAUGAAUAUUGACCAGAGCCAAAACAAAAGCCUCGGCACUAACAACACCAGCAACCGCUCAUAAAUUCUGCUUACAGAACCCAUUGCGGCAAGACAAUUUGCUUUUGCUCUCUUUCUUUUUACUUUUAGAAGGAGCUGGAGAAGGAGGCGCCGACUUCACCAAAUUUGUUGUCGAGUUCAUCAGACUCAUCGUCGUGGAGGCAAUGGGGCCAUCCCUGUCAACACAUCAAAAGAAGAACCAAAACUCCACCACUAUAUUCUGUGAAUCUUUAUGCUACCCUACGUAUAACCUAAGAACCCUACAUACAUAAAAUCACUCAAAUACUUAUCCACAUCGAGGCUCGUCGACAACACGGGAUCUUUCAGUUUCAAAUUGGAAUAUGAAACCCAUACGUGUCAGCUUCUCAAUCCCUUUUCCUACAUCAAAUCCAGCGGCAUCAUCGUCACAGAACCAUUUUUAACGCUAGGGUUUGCCAUUUUGGCACCACGCAACUCUGCAACGAAAUCGACCUUGAAAACGAACAAUUAGGCGAAAUCAAUGAGAUAUGGGAGAAAUUUUUGCCAUCCCUAGCGAGAUCCAGGCAAUUCGAAGGCGUGCGGGGGUACAUGGCAAUGAAAUUUCAAGCCUCCGACAUUGAGACUCAGAGGUCUGAUAUAUACGCUUUCGGAGUGGUGAUGUUGGAGCUCUUGUACGGGGAGGAGCCAGUGAAGUUUAAAUAUGAUGAGAACAUGCACAUAUUUUUUAGGACGUUAGUGAUUGAUAACGGUUGAAAAUACUGUUAUCUGUUAUUCAAUUUUGAUACUAAAUACAUCCUUUUUGACUUAGAAACUUGCUUUAACUCAUGUUUUUGCUUUAGUUUUGUGAAUAAGAGAGUUGAGGUUAUACUUGAUGAUUUUAUCACUAAAUUUCCUUGAUUUUGUAGGCUAUUGGAAUGAAUAGAAAGAAGGGUCAAAGUAUCAAAUGGUUGGAGUGCAGAAAAAUCAACCAUAAUGCAGAAAAGUCAACCAGAAUGUAGAAAAGUGAACCAAAGUGUAGAAAAGUCAACCAAAAUGCAGAAAAGUCAACCAAAGUGCAGUUUAGCACCGCAGGUGGCGCCUGGGCGCCCUCCAGGCACUGACAAGACAUUGUAAACUAAUAAUUGAGAGUAGGCUUUCUUCACCAAGACAUCGGGUUUAAAGUAAACUAGAAAGUGACAUUAACAUUAAUGAAGAAGACGAAUUCGUUUAUGCAUGAGAGUGAUUAGGUGAAAUUUAAACUCUAAUAACAUAUUCAUCCCAUAUUAACAACAUCAUCCAUUCAUUCUAGUGUUUAGCCUCAAUUGAUCAAAUUGCAUUCAUGUUUAUUUUUCUGCACUUUGCAUUCAAAAGCCCCAAAAUAUUGUUCUUAUAAUCUUAAUUGGUUUAGCAAAAGCACAACUGUUUAGUGUCGUGAGUCUCUUGGUAAAAUGAUACUUGGUCUUACCAUUUAUAUUACUUGAUACGAUUCAGUACACUUGUCGGAGUCUUAAGAAGUUUUUGGCGCCAUUGUCGGGGACUCGUGGUAUAACUAUUCUAUUUGUGUGAUUCUUGACUGGUUAGACUUUAUCUUUGAAAAAAAAUUAAAAAGAAUUAAUGUUUUUAUUUUUUGGCUAAUUGUGUGCUAUAGUGCAGUGUUCUUUAGUGUAUGUAGGAUAAAAUUCCUACUAGGAGCACAAGAUCAUCAGGAGGCAGAUAAGAAAGGAGAAUUGGUUCACCAACACCCUGAUGUGAAAAGUGAUGAACCCAAACCUGACACACCAGUGAAAUUCAAGAUUAAGUUAUGGGUUGUCAAAACUAUCAAGGCAAACAAAGUUCUUGAGAUAUAGGCUCCUUAUUCAAGAAGAAUGAAGUUGGUGACAAGAAAAUUGCUGAGAUUUUGUUGGUGUGAAGAAAGCAAGAGGAACACCAACAUCAAAAAUUCGGAUUGGGCUUAAUGGUGUCAAGCUAAUGACAUUAAACAAGCGCUUUCUGGGAGGUAACCCAAUUUUUAAUUUUUUCUUUUUCAUUAAUUUAGAUGUGUGGUUUGAAUUUGAUUUUGUUUUAUGUGUGUUUGAGUUUUUUUUAGGUUAUAUGCUGCUUCUGAUGGCAGUGAUGACAACAUCUACUGAUGGAUGCUAGGAACACUUAGAUCACAACAUUUACUGAUGGAUGUUGUUAUGAUGAGGAUGAUGAAUGAUAACAUCUACUGAUGGAUGCUGCUAUAACAUCUACUAAUGGAUGUUAUGUGAUUAAGCAUCUAUUGAAUGAUGCUAUGUGAUUAGACAUCUACUGAUGGAUGUUACUGACAACAUCUACUGAAGGAUGUUGAUGAAGAUGAGAAAUAUUAGCAUCUACUGAUGGAUGUUGAUGAGCACGAUUCCCAUCUACUGAUGGAUGCUGAUGAUGAGAACUGACAUAACAUCUACUAACGAAUGCUAUAAUAUCAAGAUUUAUUUUAUUUUUAUGCUUGUUUGAGUUUUGUUUUUAAUAAGCUAUGUACUUGGUUGAAAGAAUAGCUCUAUAAUGGUUGAUAUUAUGUGAUGAACUAUUUUGUGAUGAGUAAUAUUGUCUUUUGUUGCUCUACUGCUUGAAAUGCAUGGUUGAGUUAAUGUUUGAAUUAGCUAUUAAGCACAUAUAGUGGUUGCUCAUAAUUGUUUAAAACAGAUGCAUGGUUUCAAUUGUGAUUGAUAUGCUGAGCAGGAUGUAUAUUAAAUUGUGGAACUUAAGUUAACCUGUGAGAGAUUGGGCUCUAGAGUUUUAUUGAUUGAUAUGCAUAGUUGAUUUUGCCUAAGUUUUUUCGUUGAACUAUUUGCUUGCAUGUGUCAUAUGAUCAAGGCCGUUUGUUCUUCUCCCAUAUAAGCCAAUGCAAUAUUUGAACCCAACAAAAGAACAAUGUUUGUUCUAUCCUUUGAACCUUAAGCCUAAACAUGUGAAAAAACAACCUUUUGAAAUCUUUACCUUGAGUUGAGUUAAGUACAUUUGUAUGGUAUGGAGAAAGGUUAAAGUUUGGGGUUGUUGGGAAAAUUUGAAAAAGAAUUGUGAAAAGAAAAAAGAAAAAGAGCAUUGAGCUAAGUGUUGAAUGAAAUUGAAAAAGAAAAGAAAAGAAAAGAGAAGAAGAAAAAAAAGGAAAACCUCAAUGAAUGAAAAGUUGGGAGUAAAAUGAGAAUGGUUUCUCAAAUAUAAAGGAGAAAGAGAGAUUAUGGUUAAUGUGAAAGGAAAUUUUUACUCUCUUAACUCAAGGAUUUUAUUGUCUAGAAAAACCAGUUUUCUUCUUAGCCCAGCCACGUUACAAGCCUUAGAAAGUCCCUGUGAUGAUAACUUGCUUGAGAAUAUGUUUUGAUGUGCUUAAAUGAAUGACGAAGUUGAUCUAUGUGACAUUGUGAUAGUAGAGUGAAAGAGACACAAAUACCUCACUAUACACUUUUGUGUGCUUGAGCGAAACACUUUUGAGUGCUUGAGUGAAACACUGUCUUUGGUGAGGAAUGGUUCCAUGCAUUACAGUUUGACAUUCUGCUCAGCUAUUGAUCGCUUAUCAUCUCUCUGCAUCUGUUGUGUAUUCAUUGUUGUGUGAGAACCAUAAUUGAAGCUUAGUUUGCUAUGACAUCAUUAUUUCUUGACUGAUCUUUCUAUGAUGAGCAUACAUGAGUGAUUUACUUGUCUUAGAGAAAAAUGCUUUUUAAUGUGUUAGAUCAUUGUAUUAUAUCUAUCUUAUGUAAGAAAAGUUACAUUUUGCUUGAGGACAAGAUAAGUUUCAAGUUUGGGGUUGCGAUAACAGUUGAAAAUACCGUUAUUUGUGAUUCAAUUUUGAUACUAAAUGCACCUUUUUUUGACUUAGAAACUUGCUUUAACUCAUGUUUUUGCUUUAGUUUUGUGAAUAAGAGAGUUGUUAUACUUGAUGAUUUUAUCACUAAAUUCCCUUUCUUUUUUAGGCUAUUGGAAUGAAUAGAACGAAGGGUCAAAGUAUCAAAUGGUUGGAGUGCAGAAAAGUCAACCAAAACGCAGAAAAGUCAACUAGAAUGCAGAAAAGUCAACCAGAGUGCAGAAAAAUCAACCACAAUGCUGAAAGGUCAACUAGAGUGUAGUUUAGCACCGCAGGUGGCGCUCGGGUGCCCUCUAAGGGCGCUACGUACCAUUUUUAGUGCCGCAACCACCACCCGGGCGCCCUUUUAGGGACGUUGAGCGCCAGUUUCUCCUGUUUCAUGCCUAAGCGCUGGCAGCGUGAGCUUGGACCUAUUUUUUUGUUAUUUUUAUGAUCUUUUUAAGACCCAGAUGCCUUAGGGUUUGUAUCUUUUGAUGGCUUAAGUACAUAAACACAUUUUUCACCCCUUUGGGUGUAGAUUUGGGGAUGGAGGAGCUCUCCUCUUCUCUCUCAAGGGUUUUUCUGUCUCUUUCAUUCCAUUGUACACCUAGUUUCUUUAUAGUGGUGGAGAAUUAAUCUCAUUUGUUAGUGGGGAAGAUGUAACAUCUAAAGUCUCUUGUAUUUGAAUUGAUUUAUAUUAUAAAUGCUUCAUUUAAUUAAUUAUUAGGGUUUUUCCUCUAUUCUCAUUGCUUGCUUUUUUAAACUCAUUCAUAGCAUGAUAAUUGAUUUUGUCGAUAUGGACACAUACGAGGGUUGGCUACCUUUAAGCUUCUGUGCAUAUGUAAUGCAUAAUCAAUUGUUAGGGAGACAUGACAUUGUAAACUAAUAAUUGAGAGUAGGCUUUCUUCACCAAGACAUCGAGUUUAAAGUAAAUUAGAAAGUGGCAUUAACAUUAAUGAAGAAGACAAAUUCGUUUAUGCAUGUGAGUGAUUAGGUGAAAUUUAAACUCUAAUAACAUAUUCAUCCAAUAUUAUCAACAUUAUCCAUUCAUUCUAGUAUUUAGUCUCAAUUGAUCAAAUUGCAUUCAUGUUUAUUUUUCUGCACUUUGCAUUCAAAAGCCCUAAAAUAUUGUUCUUAUAAUGUUAAUUGGUUAAGCAAAAGCACAACUGUUUACUGCCGUGAGUCUCAUGGGAAAACAAUACUUAGUCUUACCAUUUAUAUUACUCGAUACGAUUCGGUACACUUGCCAAAGUCUUAACAGUGAUCAAGAUGACGAGAUGCAUGGUUGACGGCGGCGAUGGUGGCGUAUAAGGGAAGCCGAGGAAGUGGACGUAAAGGAGUAGCUUAUAUCACAUGCCCCAAAAACUGGACUUCCUCCAUCCAAAAUUCGCACUUGGACAGCUUGGCAUGCAAUUUCUUCUCCCUCAAUACCCUAAGCAUUGUCCUAAGGUGAUCAACAUGCUCCUCACGAGUCUUGGAAUAGAUAAGAAUGUCGUCUAUGAAGACUACAACAAACUUAUCUAAGAAUGGUCUGAAGAUUUUGUUCAUAUAGUCCAUGAAUAUGGCUGAAGCGUUAGUGACACCGAAAGGCAUGACCACAUACUCAUAAUGACCAUAUUUAGACUUGAAGGCAGUCUUCUACGCACCACCUUCCUUAACUAGAAUCUGAUGGUAGCCCGACCUCAGAUCUAUCUUAGAGAACACAGUAGCUCCAUGUAGGUGAUCCAUCAAGUCAUCUAUUCUAGGCAAAGGAUACUCGUUUUUUAUGGUCAACUUAUUCAAUUGCCUCUAGUCCACACAUAACCUAGAGCUAUCAUUGACAAAUUGACAAGUGUACCAAAUCGUACAAGUAAUAUAAAUGGUAAGACCAAGUAUCGUUUUCCAAAGAGACUCGAAUGGCUUUCUCUUUCGCGUGAAUUAAAAUAAUAAGACUUGAAAAUAAAAAUUAAUAAAUUGGAUUUGAGAACAAAAAUAUUAACAUGCAAAAUAAAGUUGAUCCAAUUGACAAAAGAAAACAAUGGAUGAAUGAAUGUUGUUGGGGUUAUACAAUUUCAUCUAAUCCGCUCUCUCUUACCUACUACCCUCAAAUAUUAGUUUGAUUGAUUCAAUUGUUAUGCGACUUUCUUAGCCUCCCCUUAACCCGAUCCCUCGGCGAAAAGGGCCUAAUAUUAACUACUGGCUUGCUAUCCCUAGCCUCCCCUAGUAAUUAAUACCGCAUUAUAAACAGAAGUUAGCGCAAUUGAUCGUCCUAUCCCUAUCCCUAGGUGGUAUUGCAAAAUCAAGAAAUUACUCACCAGUUCAUGUCAUUACUGUACGUCCCCAUAUCAAUAAAAACAAACAUCAGUUACCGAAUGAGUUAAACGAUAAAGGCCUUAAGCACAGAUAAUAACCCAACAAUUAACAAUCAAAACAUAUGGAGACCAUAUAAAUAAUCAAGAGUUUCAAUGAGAGAGAGUAUCAAAAGAUUACAUUGUUUCCCCCAACAACAAUAGGGUUUAGUUCACCAUAGACAUGGUGAAACUAGAUGAAAAAUGGAAGAAUGGAAGAGCAAACCCUAGAAAAGAUGAAAAGGAGCCUAAGCAUCCAAGAGAUCCUCUCCAGAGAGCAAAAUUAGGUAUGGUCGUUCUCCCCUGUCAAAAGAAUAAUUAUGAACUCGCAAUAGGGGUAUAUAUAGGUGAAGAGCGCAUCAGAAAACAGGCCCAAGUCCAGCGAGCCACCGUCGGGCGGUUUAAGUGUGCCGCCCGGCGGUUUCCCAAAGUCCUCCAAACCGCCCGAAGGCAAUCGCCACCGCCAGGCGGUUUCCCUUAGGUCCGCCCAGCGUUAAUCGCCAUGCCUUCUCCUCGUCCUGGACUGCCCGACGGUUUAAGUGUGUCGUUGGGCGGUGCGUCGACUCUUCAAAUCUUCAUUUUUCUUCUCUUUUCUUGAGUCAACGACCUGUAUCUUCAACUCCAUUCUUUACUUUUCUCAAAUUAGCUACAAAACAAUGCAAAACAAGCAUAAAAUCGCUAAAAACAGCUUUUGACUCUCUUCAGACUCAUUUAUUGAGUUUUGCUUGAUUCUAGGCUCAUUCCGAGUAGUAAAGGGUGUAAUUUAGUCCCAAUUGACAUAUGAAAAUAACUGUUUUUCAACCUUCAUCAAUCAUCCUUCUUCUUUACUAACAACGCUGGCGCACCCCACGGCGAGACACUAGGUCGAAUGAACUGUUUCUCAAGUAACUCUUCAAUCUGCUUAUUUAACUCCACCAACUCAGCUGAAGCCAUCCUAUAAGGCGCUAUGGAUACUAGCCCUGCACCUGACACCAGAUAAAUAGAAAAAUCAACCUCCCUCUAAGGAGGCAACCCCGACACUUCCUCUAGAAACACGUUCAAGAAAUCACUCACAACCGAGUGAUCUAAACUCUGCCCACUCUGAUCAACCUCCAUAUGAGACAACACUAGAAAACAACAAGAUCCUUAUAUCAGCUCUUGUCGCACCUGACCCGAAGACAACAACAUUAACUACUCUAUCUCAGGAAACAACAACUUCUUCUCACUACAGUCUAUAAGAAUGUGAUUGGUAGAUAACCAAUCCAUCUCUAAGAUUACCUCAAAACCUUGUAGAGGUAAACAAAUGACAUUCACCUUGAAUUGACGCCCUUCUACCACCACUAGAUAUCUAGCACACAUUGUGGAUGUCCUGACCAACCCAGAAGUGGGAGUAUAUACUACCAGAUCAAAAUGUAGCUCUCUCACAAACGACCCCAACUCCUCAACACAAGCCUCAGACACAAAGGAAUGUGUCGCCCCCAAAUCAAACAACCCAAAACACAGUCUACUAAACAACAAACAACAACUGAUGAUGAGAAUACCUGAACUGGUUGCCUUUGAUCUCGACAAUCCAUAAACACGUCCUUAUGCCUGAGUUCUGGCACCUGCCCUCUGAUGAGACCUACCCGCCUGGUGUGACUGUGAACCUGUCCUCCUAAUUGUAGGACAAUCUUUGGUGUAGUGACCCUUAGUCCUGCAAAUGUUGCACCUCCGGAACCCCUACAUCUGCGAACAAACUAACUAUGGAUGCGAUCCUCCACAAAUGUAGCAUGUCACAGUCCUAGACUGACUAGGUUGACCUGACUGUACGGAUGACUAAGAGGGGGAACCCCUAGACCCAUGAGAAGGAGGCCUAGAGUAAGAUGUCCUCCUAGAACUGAAACUGCUCUUGGACCCAAAUGGUCCACCAACCCUCAACUAUUGAUCUCUUGUCCCUUCACCUCUCUCUUGAUCUUCUCAAGGACUCUUGGUCUCUCAACUAAUGUAGGAAACUCCUUAAUGCACAACCCAAUCACUAAAAGCUUGAUAUCACCCCUCAAACCAUUCUCAAAAUUUCGACAUUGCCAUUCCUCAUCCAUGGUCAAAGUGCGGAACCGAAUCAAAUGUUUAAACUGGUCUGCAUACUCAGAAACUGACAUACUACCCUGCACCAACUGUAGGAGCUCAAUCUCCUUCGGAAAUCUCACAAUGUCAGAGAAGUAGUCAGUAUAAAAAUUCUUCUUGAACAAAUCCCAUGUGAUAGGUGUACCACUCCCCUCUAAAAGCAUCCUCAUAUUGCUCCACCAAUGGCUAGCCUCACUAGUCAAUAAGUACUCAGUGGAAGCCAACUUGUUCUCCUCAGGACAUCUCUUAACAUUAUAGGUCCGCUCCAUUUCUCUAAACCAAUGUUUGUCUCAUCCGAACUAACUUCGCCAUUAAACUUGGUAGGGUAAUACCGUAGAAAGCUCUUAAGACUCUACUCUUGAGGCUAAGUGGAAGAAGAAAAAGAAGGCCUUGUUGUAACUCUGUCACUACUCAUAAGCUCAACAUACUGCCUCUAGGAUGUCUCAGCUGACUACCCUGCACCAACUGUAGGAGCUCAAUCUCCUUAGUAAAUCUCACACUAUCAGGGGAAGUAUAGUAAGUAUAAAACUUCUUGAAAAAAUCCCAUGUGAUAGGUGUAGCACUCCCCUCCAGAAGCGUCCUCAUAUUACUUCACCAAUGGCUAGCCUUUCAAUAAGUACUUAGUGAAAGCCAACAUGUUCUCCUUAGGACAUCUCUUAACAUUAUAAAUCCGCUCCAUGUCUCUAAACCAAUGUCUGCCUCAUCCGAACUAACUUUGUCAUUAAACUUGGUAGGGUGAUACUGUAGAAAGCUCUCAAGACUCCACUCGUGAGGCUAAGUGGAAGAAGAAGAAGAAGGCCCUAUUGUAGCUCUACCACUACUCAUAAGCUCAACAUAAUGCCUCUGGGAUGUCUUAGUUGACACCCUAGCAGCUUCGAACUACUGCCAAGCCACAAUAUUAUGCUAGACUAAAGCGAUUUUCUGCUAUUGCGUUGCAGUUGUCACUAAUUCCAUCAUCCUCAUAAGAUCAAGCGCAUUGGGAUUACUAGAUAGAGGAGGGGGAGGCCUAGAUGCCAUCUUCUGCUUACACAAAAAGAAAAGCCAUGAGUCCAACUGAUAACGGUUGAAAUACCGCUAUUUUUAUACUUAAAUUUGACACUAAACAUACCCUUUAUGACUUAGAAACUAGCUUGAAAUCAUGUUUUUAGCUUAAGUUAGAGAAUAAGAGAGUUGAUGGUAGUAUUAUUGGUAUUAUGCUUGGUUUUGUUGUUUUGGCAGGAAUUAACAUGAAUUGGAUGAAGGAAGUUGAAGAAGUAAGGAGUUGGACUUGAGAGAAGCAGGAAAAAUGCAUAAAAGAAGAAUUGCAGAUGGUGCUGAGCGCAAUUUCUAUAGCUGAGCGCCAACCUCGUUAUAGAGUUCACUGUCUGACGCUUGAGCGCCAACGCUGAGGGGGAAUACAAGUGUCGCAGCUACCGUUGAGUGUGACACCCGGGCACUGACGAAGGCGGAGAGUGAUCGCCGGUGCAAGAGGCAUGGACAAGGAACGGCUCCUGGCAGGCUUCCAGUGGAAGGGGCACGUGGACGAAUCGAACAUACACCGGAAUGAGAGGGAUCUAGAGACUUUAUAGGUAUGGGACUAUACAAUUGAAGGAUAGCUUAAAGGAAUUGAUUUGGCUACUCAUAUCAACAAAUGGAUUUGCUUUUCGGUAGCCUAACUCAUAAGAACUCCAUGGUUAAGCGUGCUUAGCCUAGAGUAAUUAUGGGAUGGGUGACCUUCCAGGAAGUUUUCUUGGAAAGUGUGUGAGUGAGGACAAAGCACACUAGAAACCCUCGUGUUGAUGUGUGGGGGUAGGGGCGUUACAUUGAGCGCCACUUUUACCGCUGAGCGCUUGAGUCUUCAGUAGAGUCCACUGUUUCUCACCUGGGCAUCAAUGUUGAGCGUAAUUUUGAGUACUACAUCUACCGCUGAGCGGCAAUUCCAGCGCUGAGCAUUGUCAACAUGGGCCUAGGCCAGUUUCCUGUUAUUUUUAUGAGCUAUAUAAGGAUUUAGUCGACCUAGAGGGUCUAUCUUUUGGAAGAAGGAGGUGCAAAAACACUUUUUUCACCCCUUGAAGGCAGAUUUUGGAUGCAGAAGGUCCAAUCUACAACUUUUAGGGUUCUAUCUUUCAUUAUUUUCAUUAUUUUCAUCUAGUUUCACCAUGUCUAUGGUGAACUAAAACCUCCAUUAUUGUUGGGGAAACGAUGUAAUCGGUUUAAACUCUCAUGUACUGAAUUGAUUCUUUAUAAUAUAUGCUUUUUUUCAUUAAUUGUUAGGGUUUUUUGUCUAUGCUCUAUGUAUGCUUUUUUUAACUCAUUCAAUUGCAUGAUCAUUGAUUUUGUCGAUUAGAACACAUAUGGGGAAAUCUAAACUUGGGGAAAUUCUCUUGGGGGCAAUAUUACCUAGACAUAGGGAUAGGAGGACCAAUUGCCUUUAAGCUUCAAGACAUUGUAAACUAGUAGUUAAGAGUAGGCUCUUUCCACCGAGACAUCAGGUUUAGGGUAAAUUAGAAAGUGGCAUUGACAUUAAUGAAGGAGUUGAAAAUUCAUAAAUACAUGAGAACGGAUAGGAUAAAGUCGGAAACCCCAACAACAUAAUUCAUCCAUAUAUCAUUCACCUGCGUAUUCUUUUGGUUAAUUGAUCAACAACUGCAUUCAUGUUUAUUUUCUGUUUUUCAUUCUAAACCUAAUUGUCGUUCUCAAGUCUUAAAUAAUCAACAAAUCACAUGACUAUCUAGGUCAAUGAGUCUCUAGGGAAAACGAUACUUAGUCUUACCAUUUAUAUUACUUGAUACGAUUUGGUACACUUGUCGGAGUCUUAACACCAACUCAAAGAAACACUAGUACAAAAAUCAUAUUUUAUGACGUACAAAAUUGAGUUAUGAUGUACAUAGUUUUGUACGUUAUAAUAGGUCUACACAUUUUAUGACGUAGCAAAAAUUUACGUCAUGAUAGCCUGAACAUAUUAUGAUACAGUUUCUAAAAUCAGUCCAUGUUUUUAUAUGAAUAUUGGAGAAAAUUGUUUCGAAUUGAUAUUGAGUAAAAUUAUNUAUGUUCACAUUCAUUAGAGUUAUUUCUUUUUUUAUAGACUUCUUGAAAUUCUUUCUUCUUCGGAGCCAGCACAAAUUAUAAGUUGAGAUUUAUAAAAAACGACAGCAAAAUCUAACAAAUUAUGAUAAAAAAAAAAGAAAUAACUCUAAUGAAUGUGAACAUAGAUAAUUUUCCUCAAUAUCAAUUCGAAACAAUUUUCUCCAAUAUUCAUAUAAAAAAAUGGACUGAUUUUAAAAACUGUCAUAAUAUGUUUAGAUGACGUAAAUUUUUGCUACGUCAUAAAAUAUGUAGACCUAUUAUAACGUACAAAACUAUGUACGUCAUAACUUGUUUUUGUACGUCAUAGCUUGUUUUUGUACGUCAUAAAAUAUGAUUUUUGUACUACUGUUACUUUUUCAUUUUAUAUUCUGAGGUUAAUCUAACAAAUUUUUAUUACAAUUUAAUUUUUAUUUCAUGUAGCGAUAUCUUUAUGAAGCAUUUUUGAAGAGUGAGAUUGUUCUCUCAGCAUUUGAUAGCUCACCACUGGUUGCCCUUAUGGUAAUUUUUGUCGUGUUGUUUGAGCUACUCUCAUUCUUGUUAUGCUAUUAUAUUAUGUUCUUUUUUUCCUUUUUAUAUAGUACUACUGUUGUCUUUUGAAAAUAUUCAAACGGAUCAUAUUCUAAAGAAAAUAUGUGAUCAUCCACUUCUGUUGACCAAGAGGGAUGAACUCAAUGCUAAAGCCAGACGAAGCUAAUGUUGCAACAAAAUUGGUAAUGCUCAUAGCCGAUGUUGGUGACACAAAAAGGUUUAAAGAUGAACAAGAGGUGUCAUGCAAAAUUUCCUUCAUUAUGUCAUUGUUGGUAAGUACUGGUCAUGCAGUUUGUAUACUACUGGUGUUUAAUUCUCUGCAUAAUAUCACAGUUCUAAUUUUAUGUUGUAGGAUAAUUUGAUCCUAGAAGGGUUGUAAAUUUUUGCUACAUCAUAAAAUAUGUAGAUCUAUUAUAACGUAUAAAACUAUGUACGUCAUAACUCGUUUUUGUACGUCAUAAAAUAUGAUUUUUGUACUAGUGAAACAUGACUACAACCUAGACUUAACUAUGAGUACACAACACAAGCAUAACACACUCGUAACCUACAAGAUUCCUAAGGAAAGAACUGCUAUAAUACCAAAAAUGUAAUAUCCCAAAAUAUAACAUUUAACUAUAUAAUAGUCAUCACAUAUUUAGUAAGAUAGAUUAGUUGCGAACAAUAUUAUAAAGUGGAAAUUACAGUCAUCCAAAACUAACUAUAAAAUCAAACUUUAUAUGUAACUGGGUUAACCAAAACUAUUUACAAAUCUAAUCUAAAGAAAACUAUACAACAACAUCUCCUUCAUCAAGUACCUGCUCUAGAGGAACCUCAUCACCCUCUGCUUACACCCACAGGAUGAUCCUAGCAAAGAAAAGAACACAACAACAUACAACCACAAGCAUAAAUAAGAGGGUGCGCUAGUUUACAAUUAAAGAAUAUAUAUAUACAUACAUACAUAUAUAUAUAUAUAUAUAUAUAUAUAUAUAUAUAUAUAUAUAUAUUUAUUUAUAAACUCAUUUAAACAUGUUACAUAUAACAAACAUAUCACUACACAGUUAUCAAACACUUUAUGCAUGACAUUUAUUAUGAAUGGAUUGUCCGAACAUAGAAUGAAUGUCGAACUAUGACGGAUUGUGCACUUGUGGUGGCUUAUACUGCUUUGCAAUGCCAUUGCCAAUGGGUUUCAUCCUACCACAACCACAAGGUUAGUAUGUUCCACACCUUGGAUCAUACUGGAAGUACCCAAGACUAAGACAUCCUACUACUCUCACCACAUGUGUCAAUCCUCUCUAUGUAAGAAUGAAUUAUCAUUAGAGUGUUAGAAUAACCCCCAAGACUGAGCUCCCUACAUUCAGACUAAAGAUACUUGAAAUUAGACCAAGAAUUCCACCUUGGAAUUCACUUUCACAACUUUGAAACACUUUGAACCCAUGUACAUACAUCUCUUUACUUUUACAUUGCAUAUUAAUACAUAAAACUACUGAUCAUACAUUAAACAACCCAAAACACCAUUACAAGUCAUUAUGAGUCACAUAAUAACACAAUUUUCUUUAUAGCAACUUGAUACUCACACUUAGGCAAGGAAAACAGAUUUGAAACCCUCACCAACAGUUCCGGAAGGGUCAAAAACCUCUUAAAACGACCUAAAGAACGUCCAAAACAUAUAUAUUCAGAAACCUUGAAAACCACCCAAAAUUGGUGUAGUGGCGUCUAGUACGACAGUAAUCGAUUAUCACAUAUGAUAAUCGAUUAUUGACGAGGGCAUUGAAGAAAAUAUGACCCUCUAGCUAGAAUAAUCGAUUAUCUAGUGAGAUAAUCGAUUAUUUUUGUCAGCUUUUGACAACAACCUGAUUUUUUUUUUUGUGCAUUUAGACGUAUCCAAUUGAUCAAUUAGAAUAUGUAAUACUAAUAUUGAUAUGAAAACAUGUUUAUAGAUGAUAUUAAUGUAUUGCAUUGGUUAUUUGGAUAGGAAUUAGAUGUAUCAAACCAACUCAACAACUCAAAACCCCCAAAAAACCAACCUAAAAUGCAACUUUCACCUUCAUGAUAGAUUUUCACUGGUUUCAACCUCUAUCCAAGUCCUAAUUAGUCUCAUAACUUGUUCCAAACUCUCCAAAACAAAUUAAACCCCUUACUUCAAAAUCUCACUACUCAAAACCCCAUUUUUAUACUAAAAACACUCUAAACUUCGACUAUACACUGCCUUUUCAUUACAUAUCAGAUUUUAAUCACCUUAUACCUCUAACAAGUCUUAAUUUACCUCAUGACAGCACCUCAAAAAUAGUUUUCUCACAUUAACCCCAAAUUCUCAAACUCACAUAUGAAAACCCCCAAUUUUUAGGCUUAAAACUCAAUAAUUUGACCAACUCUCACUCCAAUCACUUGAGUUAAAUUUUCAAAUAUCAAACCAACAUUAUCAAACAAAAUCGUAACGGCAUAGAACAUCAAUUUCACACCAUUCCAAUCAUACACACAUCAUACUAUCAAAAUCACAAAUUAACAUACACAUUAUACAUCUAAUCAUACAUAUUUCUCAAAAUCAUUUAUAACUCAUAAAAAUACCAACACAACUAAAUAUGGUCUAACUUCCCUUACCUUAGUUAGAAUUACCCCGGCUCUCUAACACCCGAUUGUCGCUCCCGCCGCAAGGAAAAUUCUAAAAAUACCUACACAUCACCAAUUAAUGAUUGGAAAGGGACCUUGGAAUCUCAAAUUGACUUAGAAUUUUAGGAAAAAACCCUCUUUUACAUGCAAAAACAAAUUUACAUGUAAGAUCAAAGACCGAAAAUAGAAGGAGAAAAAGGGGUAGAAACUUGCUCUAUAACUAAAAUUGAUUGAUGGAUAAAUGAAGACAACUUACCGGUGAUCACGUAGGAACUUCUUGAUGUCAAACGGAUGAUCAAAGAGUAAGAAAGUGUAGAGAGAAGGAAGAGAGAGUUUAAAGAAUGAGUUCUAAAGAGAUAAAGUGUUUUUAAAUAAUGAGACGACUGUAUGAAAUUUUAUCUAUAGUAUCGACUUAUUUUUAAAAUAAAAUAAUCGUUCUCAAAAUUUUAAAACACCUAUAUACUCUAAUAUUCCAUUUUUUGGAUUCUUACAUUAACAAAACCAAAAUUUCAAAUUUUUUGGAAAACCCACAUGAAUAGUGUAUGGGGUUGCUAUUAUACUAACAUAAUGAAAUUUUAAAAAUAAACUAAUUGUGUAUCAUCUCAUGUUUUUAUCCAUAUAGAUUUGAAAUGUAUAUUACAAUCACAUACUAAUAUUUAACAAAUCCAUAAUAUAAUUCAAAUUAUAUUCAUAUUGGAAAAAAAGACAAAAGUGUAUUUAAGUUUGUCAUGGAAAUGACAUUGAUAAUGAAAUUAAGUGGUGAUAUGUGAUCUUCUAAAUGUAAAGGAUUUUAUACAUUAUUUUUGUUUAUCUUUAUUGAUGGGAUGAAGAAAAAACUAAACCUUAAUUCAGUAUAUAAUGUUACAUUCUCAUCAACAUAUCCAUUUUAUAUUUUUUAUUAAUCACAUUCUAUAUUUUAAUAAUUCUAAUUCAACCCCUCGUAAAAUCAAAAUAAUAUUAUAAAAUAUCUACACAAGAAUGAUAGUUGUGUUAUCAGUCAUAAACAUAAUAUUUACAAACCAUAUUAUAAUUUUAAAUAACAAGAUAAUGAUCUUAACACAUUCAAACAAAAUAUAUAUAUAUAUAUAUAUAUAUAUAUAUAUAUAUAUAUAUAAUAUUUCACAAUUUAUAUUUUAAUAAAUUAUUUUAAACGAAGUAUUUCUACUUAAAAAGCAAUAAGUGAGUGAAAGAUAUAUAUUAAAUUAGGAAAAUAUUUUUUUAGUAACUUAUUUUGACAAAUUUUUUACAACUGCCACUAGUGCAGAAAGAGCUUUAGACGUAUGUUAUUUUGGGUUUUUAACGUCAUAUCCCGAACCGACGUCUAUAUGGGUGACGUUAAUGGGACGUUAGAUUCUGCAGUUUCGACGUCGUUAUAGACGUCGGUUAAUCUCAAUGACCGACGUUUGUAUAAACGUCAAACAUGGCACAAAUCAAUGUCUACGAGCACUAUAAAGAUGACAGGCAUGGCACAAACGGAUGUCUCAAGGCAUUAUAUAGAUGUUGGACAUGGCAAAAACCGACGUCUAAGGGCACUAUAGACGUCGGACAUGACAUUAACCGACGUCUACAAAGUGUUCGUUGUGUUUUAGUGCAGUUUUGCUCGUGUCUUUGGGUACCGUAGUAGCACCUCCUUCCUUUGCUAGUUUCUUCGUAAGAAAAAAUUGUGUCUUUUUGCAUCUCUUAUGGCAUUUCAACCCAAAACCGAACAUGGGUUGUUGCCUUGUUCCAUUCCAACCGUCAGAGAAAAAGAAUACCAUUGUAUUCUUUUUCUUCGCCAUAGAAAAAGAAUAUGGUGACACCGUUUUCUUUUCCUUUGCGGUAGGAAUGGAAGUAGGCAACAACCCAAGUUCGGCUUCAGGUUGAAAUGCCAUAAGAGAUCCAAAACACGCAAGUUUUUCUUAUGAGGAAACUAGCAAAGGGAGAAGGUGCAUUACGCUACACAAAGACACGAGAAAAACUGUACCAAAACACAACAAAAACUCAUUUUAAUCGGUUCAAAUGAGAUCAAACGGUUCAAAAGCAAGUUUAAUCGGAGUAAAAGCGAAGUUUAAAAGGUUCAAAAGAGUUCAAAUGCACCUAAAAGGCAAUGCAGAGGAGAAAAAAAGCGAAGGAAGACGAUGAAGUGUGCGAAAUGAGAUAUCAGUUGCCAUAGAACCCGACGUCUAUAAUCGAAUAUACGUCGGUGACCUUACUAAUAUGACGUCCAUUCAAUUUCAAAAUUAAUAUUCGUGGUAAAUGCAGACAUCGGAUGCUUGGGAAUCAAUGACUAUAGUCGCAUAUAGACAUCGGUUGGCGGGAUUAGACGUCUACAUGGCGAAAAAAAAUUAACUUUUCACCUACCUGUCAGACUAUAAACGUUAGUUAAGAGGGACACUAACGUCUAUAGUCGCAUAUAGACAUCAGAGUUGGGGGAUCUAACGUCUAAAUGGCAGAAAGAAAUGACUUUUCACCUACUGUCAGACUAUAGACGUCAGUUAGGAAGGGCACUAACGUCUAUAGUCGCAUAUAGACGUCGAAUUGGAGGGAUCUGACGUCUAGAUGGCGGAAAGAAAUGACUUUUCACCUACUUGUCAAGCCUCUAGAUGUCCGUUAGGAGGGGCUCUGAUGUCUAUAAUAUUAUAGACGUCGGUGUCCCUUCUAACCGACGUCUAGAGACUUGACUUAUUUACAAAACUACCACCGGUCGAUAAUUUACGUCGUGGCCCCUCUAACUAACGUCUAAUGGGUGACAGUAAAAGUUAAUUAUGCACUAGUGUGCUUAUGUGGUAGUUCGUGAUUUGUCCGUUUCAAAUAUACCGACCAAUAAAAUAGUGACAGUAUAGUUUAUUGUUAAAAAGUUGUUAAAAAAAAUUGUUAAUGUAUCAUCAUCCAUUAAAUUAAGGUAUAACUAAAAACCUAAUAGUGCAUAUUCUAUAUAUUGGUGUAAGAGAAAAUAAAAUUGCAUAUCUGAAAAAAGAAAAGAAAUGUAAUUAAUAUUAUAUUCUAACAUAAUAGGAGAGAUAUAUAAUAUAAUACUUGUAUGUUUUAGUGAGGAAAUAUAAGUGUGUGGUAAUAUAAAAAGAAAAAAAAAACGCGUGAAGUUUUUUAGUAGUAUAAAGUUGAUAGUGCAUACAGCGUUACAAUUUAAUAAUGAAAAGCUCCAAGCAAUAAAAAAUAUAAUUUAACUAAUUUCAAGAGAAUAAUAGCAUUGAAAUUGAAAGAAGGUUCCAGGAAGACAACUGUUAUUUUUUCAUUAUUUUAUACUACUACAACCUAAGAAAACAACACAAAUAGAUUCCACAUAAUUUCCUUCCAAAGCCUACAUUUCUAAUCUCAAAGUGAGAUUGGAACUCUCUGAUGGAAGACAUCCUUAAACUCAAGAACAAAGAAAUUCCCAGUAACCUCAUUUGUUUUUAAACCCUUUUUUUUUAGUUUUAUUUAAAACUAAGUUCAUGCCAAUAAAGUUAGAACCAAAAACAACUAAAAUUUCUAAAUUUCCAUUUAGUUUGCAGCUGCACGAGCCCUUAAUAUUUGCUUAAAAGCCUUGGCAACUUCAAUAAGUUUGUCAGUGUCUGGUAUAAGGCCAUUGACAGCAGGAUGAGCAGCAAAAUUUUCAGUCCAUUGGAACAAGCCAGGGUGCUUGAUUUCAUCAAUCAAUUUUCUUGCAUUCAUCUUUUCCACCACUCUGAUCCAACUCAGAAAGCUUCCAAAACCAAUAUCAAUGAAUCCAAUGGUGUCUCCUCCGAAAAAGGCCUUUCCUUCACUGCCCUUGUUCAUCACUUCUUCCAUCCUCUCAAACACUUCUUCUGCUUGCUCAAACUGUGCCUCCUUUGCUUCAUCAUUCUCUUCAGCAUUUAGAAUACUUUUCAAGGCCGAAAACCACUACUCCCAGUUCAAACAGUUAGUACUCAUUCAAUGACAAUCACAUGAAACCUUAGAGCUUAUGAUGAUGACUAAGUUUUCAUACAACUUAAAGGAAAAAAAAAGGCUAACACACACACACAAACAUAUAUAUAUGAAUACCUUGUCAUCGAUGUAAGCAACCCAAAAUCUGGCAUUAGCUCGAUCAUAGGCAUUUUGUGGAAGGAUGGAGGGAGCAUGGGUCCAAACUUCAUCGAUGUAUUCGACUAUGAUUGCAGAUUCACAUAUGACUUUAUCUUGAUGAAGGAGAACUGGGAUUUUCUUGUGCACAGGAUUGGACUUAAGAAGAAGUUCACUUUUGGGAUUCAAG
This 23516-nucleotide long non-coding RNA is filed under the name Vigna radiata. RNAcentral describes it as "long non-coding RNA (VRAD_LNC011291)". The record is from RNAcentral. Lineage: Eukaryota; Viridiplantae; Streptophyta; Magnoliopsida; Fabales; Fabaceae.